This 30-nucleotide non-coding RNA is filed under the name Rattus norvegicus (Norway rat). The record is from RNAcentral. Lineage: Eukaryota; Metazoa; Chordata; Mammalia; Rodentia; Muridae.
UAGUAGGCCCUAGAAGAGGCUAAUGCUGUU